UGCUCACAAUUGAUUGUGGGAGGCAUAUGUGCGUUGAAUGUUGAUCAACUGCUCUCUAAACCUCCCCCCCCCCCAAACCAAUUUUUAAAGGCAAAAGCUGUUCGCCAACAUUGGACAGCUGUGUAUUUUGUGGUGUAAAAAGAAAAAAAAAGAUGUGGUCGAUAAAAAUGUUAUAAUAUCCUAUUUUUCUAACUAUUCUUUCUCAGUCAUCUAAAAAGAAUAUCUUUUCCAUUGGGUAGAAUAGAAUAGGCCUACUUCCAAUAAGGUCGGUAUUUUCCGAGGAUGGCCGCUGUCAGGGGCAGACUCCUGAAUAAGAGCAGCCAACGUGGACGGUUUUAGAGAUUGAAGUCAAGACAAAUUAAAAGACUUAACGAGUAAGAAUAAUAAAGCAAACAAGUGGAGAAUUAUUCGGCAUUGUACUUUGAUUUACACAAUAUGGUCCAAUGGAAACAACAAAUUUCAAAAACUUUGAGAAAAAGUUUUACAAUAAAAAAAAAAAUGGGAGUAUACUUUUGCUUUAAAAAAUAUACAUGAUUAUUUAAGGCUACUCAAAUUGAUAAAAAACAACUGACCAGUGUUAAGAGUUGCCCGCACAAGUACUGUGUUAUAAAGUCAUUAAAUGCGAUUGCACACUUUA
Molecule: long non-coding RNA, 637 nt
Organism: Biomphalaria glabrata
Lineage: Eukaryota; Metazoa; Mollusca; Gastropoda; Planorbidae
Exons: 2
Source: RefSeq, a predicted model, not a curated record